Peromyscus maniculatus bairdii (prairie deer mouse) is the source of this 887-nucleotide long non-coding RNA. RefSeq lists it as uncharacterized. The record is from RefSeq and is a predicted model, not a curated record. NCBI's taxonomy places the organism in Eukaryota, Metazoa, Chordata, Mammalia, Rodentia, Cricetidae.
GAAGCAAAAGGCAGAGGGAGCCUGAGGCAGCUGCUCACAGAGAGCAGAAAAGGCAUCGGCUUUCCCUCUCCACUUACCGAACCCAGGAUCCGGCCAGGGAAUGGCACCACCCACAGUGGGCAAGUCUUCCUACUUCAAUUAGCGCAAUUAGUGCAAGCAAGACAAUCCCUCCCAGGCAUGCUCAGUGGCCCUCAGGUGAUUCUAGAUUGUGUCAGGUUGACAAUUAACCUUCCCCAGCACAACAGUUUUGAGCACAUACCAAAGGAGGCAGACUAGUGUAGUGAACCUUCCAUAACCACAUUUGACGAUUAGGGGCUGCUCGCAGUCAGCGUUCGUCCAUUUACAACCUUGGCCUCCUACUUUCUGAUGGGGUUUUUGAAACAAAUCCUGACUCCAAAUCAUUUCAGGCAAGGCUUGAUUCUGCACCGCAAGGAAGACAAUGCGGUCUGCUGUCUCCAGAAGCCAAGCCAGAUGAGAAGAGGGCAGGGAGAACCGCUACCCGCUGUGUUCCUGAGGACUCUGACUACAGGUCAGACGUGGAGCAACAACAGCAGAAGACCCUCAUUCAGUGACACCAGAGCGCGUCGUGGCACUGAGUCCAGACCUGGGCUCUGCAGAGGACUGAGGAGCUCGAAGGUCUCCCGCUGCUCAUCCAGCUCAUGCAGAGUCCUGUAUUCCUGUCAAAAAGCGAAUACAGCAGCCUCUUAGACAGGAUUUCUCUGUGUCAUUUUUGGUGUCUGUCCUGGAUCUCACUCACAGAAGGCGGUGCCCUGGAGAAGGAACAACAGAAAAACAACGAACAGGCUAACAUCAGGUUACCUCUGUGUAAAGAUGAAGCAGAGGAAAUUCCAUCAUAUCACACACUGAAACUGGCCUGAUUCAGAAAU